Molecule: ribosomal RNA, 497 nt
Filed under: uncultured bacterium
Lineage: Bacteria
Description: partial 16S ribosomal RNA
Rfam family: Bacterial small subunit ribosomal RNA
Source: RNAcentral
GAUGAACGCUGGCGGCGUGCCUAAUACAUGCAAGUCGAACGAACGGACGAUAAGCUUGUUUCUUUGAUGUUAGCGGCGGACGGGUGAGUAACACGUGGAUAACCUACUUAUAUUUCUGGGAUAACUACGGGAAACCGGAUCUAAUAACACAGGAUAUUUUGAACCGCAGUGUGCAAAGGAGAUAGACGGUCUUGGUGUCACUUAUAGAUGGAUCCGCGCUGCAUUAGCUAGUUGGUAAGGUAACGGCUUACCAAGGCAACGAUGCAUAGCCGAGCUGAGAGGAUGAUCGGCCACACUGGAACUGAGACACGGUCCAGACUCCUACGGGAGGCAGCAGUAGGGAAUCUUCCGCAAUGGGCGAAAGCCUGACGGAGCAACGCCGCGUGAGUGAUGAAGGUCUUCGGAUCGUAAAACUCUGUUAUUGGGGAAGAACAUAUGUGUAAGAAAAUGUGGACGUCUUGACGGUACCUAAUCAGAAAGCAACGGCUAACUACGUG